UAAUUUUUCUCCUUUAGCAUUAUUCUUGCUCUUAACUUUCAUCUGUUUUAUAUAUCUUGUGUAUUAAUUAAAAGUGACCCAACUACGCCUCAAAAUGUUAUCCUAACGUUUGCUUUCUGUUCUGGUGUUUCAGUUGCAAAAGAAUUUGAAGAACAAGGUUUACUGUGACAAGCUAGAUUAUUGAAGUCUUGAGUGUAUUAAACUGCAAGGCCAAUGUAACAUUGUGACCCAAGUCAAGUGGGUUUCAAAUUCUAUUUUAUCACAUUUAUAUAAAACUCAACCUUGCUCGAGCA
This 293-nucleotide long non-coding RNA is filed under the name Medicago truncatula (barrel medic). RNAcentral's name for it is "long non-coding RNA (MTRU_LNC006891)". Lineage: Eukaryota; Viridiplantae; Streptophyta; Magnoliopsida; Fabales; Fabaceae. The record is from RNAcentral.